RNAcentral lists this ribosomal RNA (690 nucleotides) under uncultured bacterium. Its description in RNAcentral is "bacterial SSU rRNA". It matches the Rfam family "Bacterial small subunit ribosomal RNA", at positions 32 to 715 of the family's 1533-position model. The record is from RNAcentral.
AACGCUAGCUACAGGCUUAACACAUGCAAGUCGAGGGGCAUCAGGGAUUAGCAAUAAUCUGCUGGCGACCGGCGCACGGGUGAGUAACACGUAUUCAACCUUCCGAUAACUCGGGGAUAGCCUUUCGAAAGAAAGAUUAAUACUCGAUAGUAUAUUUUCUUCGCAUGUUGAAAAUAUUAAAGAAUUUCGGUUAUCGAUGGGAAUGCGUUCCAUUAGGCAGUUGGCGGGGUAACGGCCCACCAAACCUACGAUGGAUAGGGGUUCUGAGAGGAAGGUCCCCCACAUUGGAACUGAGACACGGUCCAAACUCCUACGGGAGGCAGCAGUGAGGAAUAUUGGUCAAUGGACGCAGGUCUGAACCAGCCAAGUAGCGUGAAGGAUGACUGCCCUAUGGGUUGUAAACUUCUUUUAUAUGGGAAUAAAGUGCGCCACGUGUGGUGUUUUGUAUGUACCAUUAUGAAUAAGCAUCGGCUAACUCCGUGCCAGCAGCCGCGGUAAUACGGAGGAUGCGAGCGUUAUCCGGAUUUAUUGGGUUUAAAGGGAGCGUAGGUGGGCUGGUAAGUCAGCUGUGAAAGUUUGCGGCUCAACCGUAAAAUUGCAGUUGAUACUGUCAGUCUUGAGUACAGUAGAGGUUAGCGGAAUUCGUGGUGUAGCGGUGAAAUGCUUAGAUAUCACGAAGAACUCCGAUUG